GACGAACGCUGGCGGCGUGCUUAACACAUGCAAGUCGUACGGUAAGGCCCUUUCGGGGGUCCACGAGUGGCGAACGGGUGAGUAACACGUGAGUAACCUGCCCACAACUUUGGGAUAACGCUAGGAAACUGGUGCUAAUACUGGAUAUGUGCUCCUGCUGCAUGGUGGGGGUUGGAAAGCUCCGGCGGUUGUGGAUGGACUCGCGGCCUAUCAGCUUGUUGGUGGGGUAGUGGCCUACCAAGGCGGCGACGGGUAGCCGGCCUGAGAGGGUGACCGGCCACAUUGGGACUGAGAUACGGCCCAGACGCCGACGGGAGGCAGCAGGGGGGAAUAUUGCACAAGGGGCGCAAGCCUGAUGCAGCAACGCCGCGUGCGGGAGGACGGCCUUCGGGUUGUAAACCGCUUUCAGCAGGGACGAAGCUUUUUGUGACGGUACCUGCAGAAGAAGCACCGGCUAACUACGUG
This 465-nucleotide ribosomal RNA is filed under the name uncultured bacterium. RNAcentral describes it as "partial 16S ribosomal RNA". It matches the Rfam family "Bacterial small subunit ribosomal RNA", at positions 28 to 507 of the family's 1533-position model. The record is from RNAcentral.